CAAUAGCGUAUAUUAAAGUUGUUGCAGUUAAAAAGCUCGUAGUUGGAUUUGUGGCGUACGGUGUGUUCCGGGCACUUGUUGUCUGAGUAACCUGCUGUUGCCAUCCUUGGGUGGAACCUGUGUGGCAUUAGGUUGUCGUGCAGGGGAUGCCCAUCAUUUACUGUGAAAAAAUUAGAGUGUUCAAAGCAGGCUUAUGCCGUUGAAUAUAUUAGCAUGGAAUAAUGAGAUAGGACUUUUUUGCUAUUUUGUUGGUUUGCGCAAAGAGGUAAUGAUUAAUAGGGACAGUUGGAGGUAUUCGUAUUCCAUUGUCAGAGGUGAAAUUCUUGGAUUUUUGGAAGACGAACUACUGCGAAAGCAUUUACCAAGGAUGUUUUCAUUAA
RNAcentral lists this ribosomal RNA (380 nucleotides) under uncultured eukaryote. Its description in RNAcentral is "partial 18S ribosomal RNA". It matches the Rfam family "Eukaryotic small subunit ribosomal RNA", at positions 592 to 976 of the family's 1831-position model. The record is from RNAcentral.